AGUAGCUGCACCACUAGAAAGAUGGCGGAGCAAGAGCAAAGAAAAAUCCUUUUGGUUCCAGAAAAUCUCCUGAAAAAUAGGAGGUCUUAUCAAGCCCUCAAAGCCACCCAGGCAAAGCAGGCACUUUUGGCAAAGAAGGAGCAGAGGAAAGGAAAAGGGCUCAGGUUUAAGCGACUGGAAUCAUUCCUACAUGAUUCCUGGCAGGAGAAACGUGACAAGGUGCAUCUCAGACGACUAGAAGCGAAACCUCAUGCCUUGGAAUUGCUAGAUAAACAUUCCUUGGCCUUUGUUGUAUGCAUCAAAAGGAUUGAUGGUGUGAGUUUACUGGUGCAGAGAACCAUUGCAAGACUUCGCCUAAAGAAAAUUUUUAGUGGUGUCUUUGUAAAAAGUCACCCCCUAGAACCUAAAAACGCUACGUAUAGUGGAACCUUAUGUGACCUGAGGAUUUCCAAAUCUGAAGUCUGUCUGGGAACUCAUUUUGAAACACGGACCAGCCAAGGUCAAGAAUAAGACCAUCGGCCAGACCAUCCGUCUGACAGACAACACAGUGAUUGAGGAGGACCUGGGGAAGUUUGGUGUCAUUUGCUUGGAAGACCUCAUUCAUUAAAUUGCCUUCCCAGGGAAGCAUUUCCAGGAGCUCUCAUGGUUCUUGCGUCCUUUCCACCUCUCAGUGGCCCAAGAUGCUACCAAAAAUAGAGUGGGCUUCCUCAAGGAGAUGGGCACACCUGGUUAUCAGGGUGAAUGCAUCAAUCAGCUCAUCUGUCAGCUGAACUAGACUCAGGUGCCAAACUGCGAUAAAUUUUUAUCAGUGAAGUGGAAGCAUGUGUUUUUGUUGUUUUGGGAAUUUUUAUCAAGUACUUCAGAGAUUAUUUCCUGCUUUAUCUUCAAAAACUGAAAAGACACAAAACUCCGUCUCAAAAAAAGAAAAGAAAAGACAGUAGCUUAUGUUCAUGGCAAGCACUUCUCAUCACAGUGCAGUUCCAAGGAAAAAUUCCAGCAUUUUCUACAUUGGGUGCCACGUCAUCUGAAAUCAGCACAUUCCAUGGAGGAAGGAGUCUUGCUCCGUUGCAUCUAUCCUAGGGUUUAAUGUUGAUAAAUGAGUAACUCUAGCAUUUGUAAAAGGCUCCUUAAGGCUCCUGCAGCAGCCGACCAAGCCCAAGGACAUAACUGAAUCUGGAGAGUCCUGGGGCCUUGUUUUGAAAAAGACUUGAAAUACACAUAGGAAGAAAGCCAUAAAAAUAAAUGUUCACUUGUC
Mandrillus leucophaeus (drill) is the source of this 1255-nucleotide RNA transcript. It is a transcript of the gene named 60S ribosomal protein L7-like 1, with no coding region annotated. The transcript is spliced from 3 exons. The record is from RefSeq and is a predicted model, not a curated record. NCBI's taxonomy places the organism in Eukaryota, Metazoa, Chordata, Mammalia, Primates, Cercopithecidae.